Molecule: ribosomal RNA, 511 nt
Filed under: uncultured bacterium
Lineage: Bacteria
Description: bacterial SSU rRNA
Rfam family: Bacterial small subunit ribosomal RNA
Source: RNAcentral
UUAUGGCUCAGGAUGAACGCUAGCGGCAGGCUUAACACGAUGCAAGUCGAGGGGCAGUCGCGGGGUAGCAAUACGUCUGGCGGCGACCGGCGAAAGGGUGAGUAACGCGUGAGCAACAUGCCCGGUAGAGAGGGAUAGUCAUUGGAAACGAUGCGUAAUACCUCGUAACACACGGAAGCGCAUGAUUCUGUGUUGAAAGAUUAAUCGCUACCGGAUUGGCUCGCGUGCCAUUAGCUAGUUGGCGGGGUAACGGCCCACCAAGGCGACGAUGGCUAGGGGUUCUGAGAGGAAGGUCCCCCACAUUGGAACUGAGACACGGUCCAGACUCCUACGGGAGGCAGCAGUGAGGAAUAUUGGUCAAUGGCCGAGAGGCUGAACCAGCCAUGCCGCCGUGCGGGAGGACGGCCCUAUGGGUUGUAAACCGCUUUUGUCAGGGGGCAAUAAGGUCCACGUGUGGACUGAUGAGAGUACCUGGCGAAUAAGCAUCGGCUAACUCCGUGCCAGCCGCCGC